Molecule: ribosomal RNA, 313 nt
Filed under: uncultured bacterium
Lineage: Bacteria
Description: bacterial SSU rRNA
Rfam family: Bacterial small subunit ribosomal RNA
Source: RNAcentral
GACGAACGCUGGCGGCGCGCCUAACACAUGCAAGUCGAACGGAAGCAUUUGGAGUUUACUUUAGAUGCUUUAGUGGCGGACGGGUGAGUAACACGUGAGCAACCUGCCUUUCAGAGGGGGAUAACGUUUGGAAACGAACGCUAAUACCGCAUAACAUAUACGAACGGCAUCGUUCAUAUAUCAAAGGAGCAAUCCGCUGAGAGAUGGGCUCGCGUCCGAUUAGCUAGAUGGUGAGGUAACGGCCCACCAUGGCGACGAUCGGUAGCCGGACUGAGAGGUUGACCGGCCACAUUGGGACUGAGACACGGCCCAG